Molecule: long non-coding RNA, 1513 nt
Filed under: Homo sapiens (human)
Lineage: Eukaryota; Metazoa; Chordata; Mammalia; Primates; Hominidae
Description: HSALNT0221081
Source: RNAcentral
CAGCCUCUCUAGCUUUUCUUUGGAAGGAGCAAGAAAAAAAUGAAGUACAAGAAACGGAAAGAACUAUUCCUUCCAGCCCAGAACACUGUCUCUGAACAGCAAGAUGGCUUUGAAACGCUUUCACAACGAAGGUGUGCUCCACUGGGCACCACAACAUACGGUUCAGACGUUUAAAGCCUGUCUCAGCCCAAUUUCCUCUCCAUUUGCUCCCUGGGUAAGGUAUCCCCCCUUCAGUGCAGGCAGAACUGGCGACUUGCUUCUAAUCAACAAAAUAUGGCAAAGUGGUGGAGUCUAGAAGUCUGAGAUCAGGGCACCAGCCUGGCCGAGUUCUGAUGGCGUCUCGCUUUGUCACCCAGGCUGGAGUGCAGUGGCGCGAUCUCGGUUCACUGCAACAUCUACCUCCCAGGUUCAAGUGAUUCUCCUGCCUUAGCCUCCCGAGUAGCUGGGAUUACAGGCACCCACCACCACAUCCGGCGAAUUUUUUGUAUUUUUAGUAGAGACAGGGUUUCACCAUGUUGGCCAGGAUGGUCUUGAUUUCCUGACCUGGUGAUCUGCCCACCUUGGCCUCCCAAACUGCUGGGAUUGCAGGCGUGAGCCACCGUGCCUGGCCGACCACUGAUCUUUUCACUGUAUCCACAGUGUUGCCUUUUCCAGAAUGUCAUAGAAUUUGAAUCAUACUAUAUGUUGCCCUUUCAGAUGAGUUUCUUUCACUUACUAAUAUUCAUUUGUUUCCUCCAUGUCUUUUGGCUUGAUAAUUCAUUUCUUUUUAUCACUGAAUAAUAUUCCAUUGUCUGAUGUACCACAGUUUAUUUACGCAUUUACCUACUGAAGGAUAUCAGGACAUCUUAGUUGCCUCUGAGUUUUUGGCAAUUAUGAAUAAAACUGCUAUAGAAAGAUGUGUGCAGGUUUUUCUGUGGAUAUAGUUUUCAACUCCUUUGGGUAACUCCAAGGAGUGUGGUCGCUGGAUCAUAUAGUAAGAGUAUGUGUAGUUUUGUAACAAAUAGCCAAAUGUUCUCCAAAGUGGCAUUAGCAUUUUGCUUUCCCACCAGCAAGGAAUAAGAGUUCCUGUUGCUCUGUAUCCUCACCAGCAUUUGGUGGUGUCAGUGUUCUGGAUUUUGGCCAUUGUAAUAAAUGUGUGGUGUUAUCUCAUUGUUGUUUUAAUUUGCAUUUGCCUGAUGACAUACAAUGUGGAACAUCUUUUUAUUGAAGCUAAUGUUUUAAGCCUGGCAAUUUAGUCUCUUCUCUUCCUGUAACCCUGAGCCACUGAGCACAGCUUUCUCCAGAAGCACCUGUGAGUCACUAUACACCACUGCUAUCUCCUGAAUGCUGGAGGCACUGGAGUGGGCCCUUUCAACUUUCAUUUUCUUAUUACCUAGAGAACUUGGCAUUGGUAGAUGCCCAAAAAAUGUAUGUGAGAUGCCUGCACAUUAAAAGACUGGCUGAAAACUUAAGCAGUAUACUGGUUUAGAUCAUUCAUCGCUGUCGGCAAGAGUAAAAAGCUAUGUAGCAGCAU